AGCUGCUGCGCCGAAGUAACUUGUGUUAUUGUAAUUGGUGUUGUAUGUAUAUGUCUGUGUGCUUCGUUUGUACCAAUUUAUCGAUUUAUGCGUUUUUGUAACGCAGUAGUACAUUUAAAACUGACCUAUUUCCUUGACUUCAUCUACCUGGUACUGAUUUUUGUAAUGUUCACAAAAAACGUUUGACAAAACGAAUACAAUGGAAAACCAGUCUAUCGAAAACAAAUCGGCCAUCAUGAGCCCACCUAAACAAGUAUUGCCUACUUUUGUGCCACAACAGCCUCCGCCACACAGCAACCAAAUACACUUGCAAACAGAUUUCACGUCUCCCCCACCAACACAUCCCCAUGGAUUCUGGCCUCAACAAGCCUUUCCUAAUACAUGGCAAACACAGUUUCGUAUGGCAAACCCUGCUCCACAAGCUAAGACUACCGUGACAAAUACUACGACUUGUAAUAAUCUAACCACAUUCAGUUCGUCUAGUAAUAGUACUAUAAGAUCACCUUUGACACGCUGGAGGUCGUUCAACAGCAGUUCACGCCAGCGUACACCUUAUCAAUAUGGGAACACUCCAAGAAACAACUAUCCUAGACAGUUCUCGCAAAAUGCUAAUGGCAAUUUCUUUGGUAAUUCUUCUCAAAAUCCACAAACACCAUCAACAUCAUCUACUCAAAACUGGCCACAGUUUAAUCAAAGACCACGUUUUAUACCAAGACAACACAUGCGAAUGAAUAGACCUCGUAGUUCUGUUCAAAUUCAAUCCAAUGGAACUAAUCAGGACACAAAUGCUGUGACAGAAUGUAAAACACGAAAACGCAAGUUAAAAUCACAACAAUCUGGUGAACCUCAGCGUGCUCAAAAACCAUGGAACCGUGAAGAUGCAGUAAAAGCUAUUGCAGCUGAAAUGGAACUUCGAACACCUAAAAAUAAUCAACAAAUUAUGAUCCGAUUUCCAGAUCAUGAAAUUACACGACAAAUUGUUCAAAAUUUUCAUACAGAUAUUAAAUCUGUUCAUUUCCACACACCAUGUAAUCCGAGGUAUUGUUAUGUACAAGUACAACCUACUGCAAAUAUUGAAGAUGUUGCAAAGGAACUGAAUAAGACAGUUUUUCAACAUGAGAAUUUGCGUGUUGAAAUUAAAGAAAGUCAGUUUGAAGAAAAAGCAUUUCCAGAGUGCAUUGAUCCAUACACAUUAUAUCUUGGAAAUUUACCAACAAAUAUUACAUCUAAUGCUGUUAAAGAUGAAUUUCCAAAAGCCACUAGAGUUGAUAUUGGAUUUGCUAAAAAAAUGAAGUACACUAGAUAUGCAUUUAUUAAAUUUUCUAAUGCUGAGGAUGCAAUACAAGCAUAUAAAGAAAAAUAUAAUUUAGUAAUUGAUAGCCGAUCAGUCGUGCUAAGAUUUAGGCGUGGUAAAGGAAAUGUAAAUCCACCAGGACAAGUUGACAAAUUACCAAAUGAAAUGAAUGAAUUUGAUGUACAGAGUUUAAGGAAAAAAAUCAAAAGGGAACCAAUAGAAGAAAAUGCUGAGGAAUAUGAUGCUCCUCCAAUUAAUGUAUCAAGAGUAGUUAAACCUGAAAUGAUGGAAGAAGAUGAAUAUGAUCAAGAUUCAGUUUAUGAAUCUCAUGUAUCCGAAUCAUAUGAAAAUGAUAUUAAUAUUAAAUCAGAAUGUCCAGAUUUUGAAGAAGAUUAUGAAGAACAAUAUUAUGACGAAGAAGAGUCACGUAAAUUAUAUACUUUUAGAAGAAAUGAAACUAUGUCCAUGGAUGUAGUUCUUGCUGAUAAUAAUAGAGCUCAGUGUGUUCAAAAUAAUCAUAGCCAUGAUAUUGCCAUACCUCACGGGGGUGUUGAAGAUGAAGAAAGACAAUGGAAUGAGAAGCCAGAAGAAGAAGAAGAAUUGUUGCCACAUGCUUUACCAUAUAGUUUUCUUCCAAAAAAAGUAGUAUCAGAAAAUAACAGUGAUAUUACUUUACCUACAACUAAUGAAAUUCGUGAUGACGAUAGUGACAGAGAAAACGAAAGAUGGAACAACUCUUCAAAUGAUGAAGAUGAUGAUGGAGGUGGUACUGAAUAUAGUUGGCAAAGAAUAAACGAGAAAAACAAAUCUACAAAUCAAACUAAAGAUAAUGAAAAACGAGAAUAUAACUUUAAAAAAUCAGAUGAAAUUAAUGCUGUUAAAUGAUUCAAAUCCAAAUUCGAAAAAUAAACACGAGUCUUGUUCACUCAAAGUGGCCAAAAGGGUAUUUAGGUUUGUAUCGGCCCAGUAAAGGGGCAUGUCAAGACGAAAAACUGAUGCACGUGUACUGAAGCGACAGAAGAGCCGUCAAUCACGAACAACAGGACAAAACGCAAAUAAAAUGGACCCGCAACUCAUUUCUUCUAUCUUUCAAUCUAAUCUAUUGGAAAUCGAUUUUUACCAAGGAUCCCUUCUGACAUUCCUUUACAUCGCGUACCUUUUAAGUAUAUGUUAAUCUUAUAUAUUUGUAUAGUUCUAUGCUUCUGUAUCAUCGUCGUUAUAACUGACUGCAUGAACAUUGUUAUGUUAGUAAACUUUUUUAUUUCGACUUAAGGUGCUUCAAAAUGCUGACAAACAUUUUCAGUUGUCUAUGUGGUGAACCCUGUUAGGAUACUUUUUCCGGUCCAUACUUUUCUAUCACCACAAGAAAACCUCAAAUAUCGCAAAUUUCCCUUGUAUAAGUGCGUACACGUAAAUUUAAAAAUUUAAAUUAUUAUCAGGCUUCCUCAUACGAGUCUACGAGUAUAUAUUAUUUAGUGUGUUAUA
RNAcentral lists this unclassified non-coding RNA (2779 nucleotides) under Sipha flava (yellow sugarcane aphid). Its description in RNAcentral is "uncharacterized LOC112693929, transcript variant X2". The record is from RNAcentral. Lineage: Eukaryota; Metazoa; Arthropoda; Insecta; Hemiptera; Aphididae.